AACGAACGCUGGCGGCAGGCUUAACACAUGCAAGUCGAACGCCCCGCAAGGGGAGUGGCAGACGGGUGAGUAACGCGUGGGAACAUACCCUUUUCUACGGAAUAGCUCUGGGAAACUGGAAUUAAUACCGUAUACGCCCUACGGGGGAAAGAUUUAUCGGGGAAGGAUUGGCCCGCGUUGGAUUAGCUAGUUGGUGGGGUAAAGGCCUACCAAGGCGACGAUCCGUAGCUGGUCUGAGAGGAUGAUCAGCCACAUUGGGACUGAGACACGGCCCAAACUCCUACGGGAGGCAGCAGUGGGGAAUAUUGGACAAUGGGCGCAAGCCUGAUCCAGCCAUGCCGCGUGAGUGAUGAAGGCCUUAGGGUUGUAAAGCUCUUUCACCGAUGAAGAUAAUGACGGUAGUCGGAGAAGAAGCCCCGGCUAACUUCGUG
Molecule: ribosomal RNA, 431 nt
Filed under: uncultured bacterium
Lineage: Bacteria
Description: partial 16S ribosomal RNA
Rfam family: Bacterial small subunit ribosomal RNA
Source: RNAcentral